RNAcentral lists this long non-coding RNA (3034 nucleotides) under Apis mellifera (honey bee). Its description in RNAcentral is "uncharacterized LOC113218658, transcript variant X2". The record is from RNAcentral. Lineage: Eukaryota; Metazoa; Arthropoda; Insecta; Hymenoptera; Apidae.
AUAUCAUUGGAAUAAUGACUGCAAUUAGAUUGCUAAUUUUAAAAGGUUAUUUUAAAUAUUUUAAUUUUAAUUUCUAUUUUAUUUAUAUAAAAAUCGUCAUCGCAUAAGAAUUCUCUUAAUGAAUUCUUGCUAACAUUGACUAUUUAUGUAUAUUGAUUCACGUUGAAAUCGAGAAAAACAUCUGAACAACACACAUAUUCUAAAGCAAAUCAUGUUUUGAUUAAAAUUAUUAUUCGUGUUACUGGCGCCAAUAAGAUUUUUAACUUAACCAAGAUGAUCUCUGAGGAAUGUUAAUGUCUUCCUUGACUUUUGUCUUUUUCUUAACGGUUUUUUUUAAAACUGUAUUUUUUAAUAUUUUGUAACUUUAUUUUUCCAAACCAGAGAUGAGAGAAUCCACAUUACAUUUUUUGCAUUGAUGAUUAAGGAAAUUUAUACCUUAAAAAAACAUUGAAUUUUUUAUAAUAAAUAAAUAAUAUAAUACGUGAUUAAAAUACAUAUGAAUACAAUUUUUUGAAGAGUAUAUAAGUAUAUUUUUACUGUAACUAAAAAAAAUCACUUUAGUGAAAAGAAGAUACGUAAACAAGAUAUAAAAAUGAACGACAUGAUUACAUUCCAACGAUCAUCGCUUUUUUGGAUGGGUCUUUUACAUUUUUCAUAGAUGACUUUGCAAUCACCGUGUGACGUGUAUUGCCAUAUAUGGUCCGGAAUAAUUGAACAGAUUAUCCUACACCGGUUGAUUUGUCGUCGAUUAAUCGGACUUGUGACUAAUUCGCGUUAUCAAGCGGUCGAUCGUAACGUCGAACGUAAAUCGUCUUGUUUGGACGUGGUCAAACCUCGUUCAGUGUAGAUCAUUGACCAAUGCGGAAGUUGAGGACAUCGACUCUCUGUGUAAGUGGAAGAUCUCUGUAAAACUGUGUAUUCUAUCUUCUUAAUUCUCUUUCUCUCUCUCUCUUUUUUUUUUAUCAAUUAUAAAGCAUGGAUUACAAGAUGUACAAAUAAAUAUUAUAACACAUGAAAAAUAAACUGGUAGGUUAAACUGGGUAAACUGGUAAUGGCUAAUUCCAUUACGAUUUUAAUUCCAUCUAAACUCGUCAAUUAUUUUGUCAAAACUGAAAUAAAUCACAGAAAUUUUAAGUAAAAUUGAGAAAGAGAAAGAGAAAGAUGGAAAGAAUCGAAAGCAUCCCUUUCUGGGUUAUAUACUUUUUGCCAUUUAUCAUAUAGCCCUAGACUUCAAUAUUUAUUGUUUCUGCCCCCGAUACGUAGGCCAGGCCGGGCCCGCCUUAGGUAUGCAAGCGCACAUGCAAGCCUUUUCUGCAGCUGCAGCAAUUCACCACAAUAUCCAAUCGACGAAGCUUGCUGGCGGGAUUAAAAGGGCCACUGGCAAUCUGCCAAUAAGGCUGACAGACUCAUUAACGGAUAACCAGCGACAAUUAAGGAGCAGCAAGAAAGGCUUGAUUAGUGGCGACGAGUAACGAGACCAGCACGAACAAAGACCACGCGAGGACAAUCAUCCUGGAUCGUAGUGAUCACUGAGAAGUAUUGAUAGCGAGUUGAUCAACUUGCCAAAUUUCGGAUCAACCAGGCUUCCACUACGGUUACGAUUUCGCGCACCUGACCGGUAUACACGCGUGUACGUAUCCGUAAUAAUUUGAUUGGUAUUUCAAAUUAAUGUUUUCUUCUUAAAUGUAUAUUAAAUAUAUAAAUAUAUAUAUUCUUAUAUAUGUUUAUAUAUGUAUUUAUGUAGAUAUGUAUAUAUCUGUAUAUUCGUAGGUAUGUGUGUGUACGUGUGUCGAAGGUCUUAAUUCGGCGUCGCUAGUUCUCGGACACGUUUCUCUCGAUGAACCGGGCCGUCGGGCUCAGACUCGGCUCUACCGACUUCUCCGACCAGUUAGCCAGCAGUGAACUGCUCGUGUUCCUGCCUUGGGCAUCGUAAUAUACAUAAAGUCGCCAGAUAAGCCGCAGCUGACACCCCACCACGAACCCGUCGUGGGACGGUCCGUCUUCUCGCUCGCUUACUCUCGAUGGAACAGCUUGAAAUCCUCUUCUUCUCGAAACCGCCCCGCCGCUCGUUCAUUCCCUCUCUCUAUCGCUCUUUCGCCUUUUCUGUACCACGUCCCUGUACACGUGUUCCCGCGAUGCGGAUUGCAGUUCGCAAACAUCAGCCGACCUGUGCAAAAACUACCGUUGCAAACGGGUUUCUUGACUGUUUAGACUUAACUCCGAUAAAAGUUUUUGAUAUUUUGAUAUAAGAAACGUGAUUUAAAGACGCAACUCUAUCAUUUUCUUUUUGUUUUAGGUAAUGACAAGAACGAUAAUAAUGAAUAUUUACAUCGAGUUUUUUGAUCGCUUAAAACUUGAUUCAAGUUAAAGAUUUAUAAGAUUUUUUUGACAUGAUAAGUAUAAUUUCAAUUCUGAUUUUUUCGGAAGUGUUUUGACGAAGAGAAUAUUAGUGGAUAUUAACUCUCUGGAGAAAUGUGUAUUUUUGAAGUGAUACAUGGUUGGCUCUUUCUAGGAAAAUGAGAUAUCAAUCACUUGUGAAGUUAUUUAAGUCAGUUGCCGCUAAAAGACAACUAAAUCUAAAUGUCAUCGUACGUCGAGCAGCAAACGAGUUGUAUUACCAUAAUCUCAUCGCAAGGGCAAGAUUAUAGCCGCGUUUCUAUUCUGCUAAUUCCAUGUUAAACAUUUUUGCCUGAAACGCGACCUUCCGGAAUUUAAUCUUUUUUAUGCAUAUUAUAUUCGUUUCAGUUAAGUAUGUCUUUUUUCAAUUACCACGUCGUGUAACAAUUGUACAAUAGUUGUCAAUUCGAUCGUUUAUCAAAAGUUUGAAUGUAUUCUUUGAUGCUCUCAAAACUGUCGAAUAGAAUAGCUAAUCAAUUAUUUUACAAUUUAAAAUAAUUCAGAGAUAAAAAAAAAUUCUUUCGUUUGAAUAAUAAAUAUAAAAUUCAACGAGUUUAAGUUUUCCUUGUUGUGUAAAUUAUUUUUCGAAAAAUUAAAAAAUAUGAAUUUUUAAAUAAAAACCAUUGCUAUUGUUUCA